UAAUUUAAGAUUAAGUAUUUAUUUUUCCCGAAUUUAAAAGAGCUAAUUUCAUAUAGAUAUUAUUGUGGCAAAAAUAUUUAGAAUAAGAAAUUAGUAGUGAAAUGUUAUUCGUUUUUAAAGUUAUCUGGUUUUUUUAGAAAUAAAUUUAAUUUAAUUAACUUUUUUCAAAAUACUAAUUUUUUAGUUUUUUGUAAUAGUUAUUAGAUUGUUUUGGGGAUGAGCUUGGAACAAAAUGUUUAUAAGGAAUUAAUUUAGGAGAUUGUAAAUAGGAUUAGAAGUUUCCAUUUUUAGGAUGUUAUAAUUUUCAUUAUUAGAAUUAAUAUUUUUAUUUUUUUUAAAUUUUUAUAAAAAUUAAUUAAUAAAUUAAAGAUUAUUUGCAAUAAUGAUGAAAUAAGUAUAUUUUAGGUGUGAUUAGAAAUAAGUUUUUAAGGUUAAUUAAAGGAAUUCGGCAAAAGGUUUUCUGCCUGUUUAUUAAAAACAUGUCCUUUUGAUUUUUAUUUGAGGUCUGGCCUGCUCACUGAAUAUUAAAGAGCUGCGGUAUUUU
This 544-nucleotide ribosomal RNA is filed under the name Macrotoma serripes. RNAcentral's name for it is "partial 16S ribosomal RNA". Lineage: Eukaryota; Metazoa; Arthropoda; Insecta; Coleoptera; Cerambycidae. The record is from RNAcentral.